RNAcentral lists this unclassified non-coding RNA (3172 nucleotides) under Hevea brasiliensis (rubber tree). The record is from RNAcentral. Lineage: Eukaryota; Viridiplantae; Streptophyta; Magnoliopsida; Malpighiales; Euphorbiaceae.
UCCAAGGCCCAUUUCAUCAGCAAGAAUGCCAUUCAAAUGAUUGUUGUAUAAUGAAACCAACCAUCUUAAUCCAUUCAUCUGGUACUCCCUUAAUUUUCCACCCCGAAGACAAGCCGGCUGCUCUGCAAUGCUCUCUUUUAUGCUAUGAGCCAUCAUAUAGUACUUCUCAUUGCUUUCCAUGUAAUGCUUUGCUUGGUCACUUUCAUCUUCAUUCUCAAAAACAGUUUCAUUCUUCUCAAAAACAGUAGCAGUUUGUGUUUCAUCCAUAUCAUUUUCAAAGUGCCUUGCCAUAGGCUUUGCUUGUUGUAACUUGGAUCCCAGCUUUUGAAGAUAUUUCUCAGUCUCCUUCAGCAGUUGCUUCACACGAUCCGAUUUUGCAUCCUGCACCAUUCGCAGAUACCCCUCUACAUCAUUAAUCUUUAAUAAAUUAAUCUUCUCACGCUGAAUUCUGUCAAUCUUCUCCCGAUGGAUACGCUCCUUCCUUUUAUGGAACUCCUUCACAUACUUAUUGAAACCCUUCCAGCGUUCUCUCUUAAUCUUAAAUACAUCAUCCAGUCUUUCCUUGUGAACUUCUAUCUCAGCAAAGAACUCUUUCUGCCUCUCACGAAUCCUCUUUUGUCGUUCUUCCUUCAUUUUCAGCUCAAAUUUUUCAAGUUGUUUUAUCCUUCUACCAUGUUUAUGUUUCUUAUAUGAUUUCAAACGAUCCAUGUCAGCAGUGAUUGGCUUAAAAAAAUCACUCAGAAAAUCACUCCUUAAACGGCGUUGGAGCCCCAAUAACUGAAGCUUUUUCAAUUCUAUAACACUUUUAGUUUUUGCAGAUAUGUCUUCAGAUGAAUUCACUGUUUCCUUUAAUUUGUCAAAACAAGUGACCAUUCUUUGUUUUGUCUUUUGCUGUUUUAGAGCCCAAUUUCGCUCAGCUAAAAGUCUCUUCUUCUGAUAAUCCAUGAUCCACUUCUCGGACAUGGUACACUUUGGAGAAGGUGGAGAAUCUGUAGAAGCUGACUUGUCUUCAUCAUCUUGUUCUGAAACACUGCUGUUCCCAAGACUUUGAAAAUGACUAGGACCAUUAUCUUUUCUGUCAGGCAUCAAUUCAUGCUGAACAGCAAUGGAUGGUAAGGAUCCCCGAGAAACUUCAUUAUGACUGCCUAUUCCAGUCCAGCUGACUGCCUCAGGGUUCACUUGUUUAUUUAUGCUCAUUAGAGAUGAAGCUAGGUCAGUCCUUCCUACAUGCAGAUGGCCAUUCUCUGUGCUAUCCACAGGGUUACGAGAGGCUAAAGAAGCCCUCGCUGAAUCAGGCGGCUGCAUCACAUUCACAGUGUUGAACAAUGCCUGUGAUUCCACCUUUUCCAGGCUCUGCACUUCAGCCUCCAGUUUUCUAGUAGCAAAAGGAUGUUUCCUUUCUUCUGCAAGUACUGUGAGGUCUGAAGGUGGACCGCUUUUGUCUUCCAUCAUUUUCACUUUAUCAGCUUCUUUAGACAAGAAGUUGCCAUCCAAGAAUCUACCAGUGGAAGAGGCACCUGGAGGAAUUCCCUCACUUUCCUUCACGUUAUUCAACCUACCAAAUUGCAUUGAAGCUUCAGGGAUGCUACUUGGCUCAUGAGAAGAUUGUACCUUUCCUUUAUGAUCAACCAGCUCUUUGCGAGGACCAUCUGAAUUACCACCAUCUUUAGGAAAGAUAUUUCCAAGUGCUAGCUCCAGAUGCAGUUUCUUUGGCACCAAACCAUUUCUGAAUGCUAAAAAGACGAGGCAUUGAGCCCUAAGCUGUUUUAAUUGUUGAUCCUUGAAAGGAUUGCUAGACUGAGGAGCAGGAGAUUUUCCCACAUCUCUGGGAACUGUUGGUCUAAUCAUUGUCAUUUCAGAAUUACUGUUUUGCCGGCCACCCUGAAUAAUCAUCUUUACAUCUCCAAACAUAUUUGAACUUCCUCCUUCAUUUUCCAAAACCCUUACAGUGGAAAGUGAUGCUGGCAAGUCAUCCACACCUUUAGCUAAUCCAUGCUUCUGAAGUUCAGAACCACUGAAAUGGGCUUGACCUGAAAAUCCUAGCUCCCCCAUUGGGUAUGAACUAGAAGUGACAUGCACACCUCCAUGAACCUUGCUAAUAUGACCAGCUCCAAUAGAUGAAGUCAUUGACUGCUGCACUGGAAUCUCCGCUGUCAUAUUACCAGGCACAGAAUUAGAAGAAAACCUGGGAACUUGAGAUCUUUCAAGGGGUAACCCUGUUUUAUUUUGAUUCCAUGCACUCCUGGAAGAAAGAGUUUCAUGAGGAGAAGGUAGGGAACCACCUUGUUGUUGCCCUGCUGACACAUGAGAAGAAGAAAGUUCCAGCUGGCCACCACUGGGAACCAUAGAAUUGUUAUUUUCACUACCCCUCGCUGGAAAACCUCCUGGUGAAUCAAUCUUAUUUGUUUUGGCCUUCCUCUGAUUAACAACAGCAUUACGAGCAUCAAGCUGUUGUGGGCUGUCAAUAUGCGGUUCUGAGGGAAAGGACGAAUCACCCCUUUUCCUCUUAGCAGCAGCCUUUUUUCCAUCCUUUUGAUUCACCCCUCUUUCUUGGGAUUGAGAGUUGGCAGACCUAGUGUCCAAACUAGAAGGGCUUUCAUGAUCAAAAGACUGACUGUUCUUGUGAGUUCCAGAUCCUUGAUAAUAAUCAUGUCCAGCACCACUCGGGCCAACAGGUGGCCUGCUAGAAACAAAUGGGUCAAUUUUGGAUAUUUCAUUUUCAGCCAAACCCACUUUAGAAUCUUUUGUAACUCCAACUGCCUGUGAAGAUCCCGCAGAAUCCCCCAUUUGAGAUCCACCUGUCAAAGGAAGGCGUGAUGACAUCAAUGCCUCAAUAUCAAGACCAUGUUGGUUGAUAACAGUCUCCAUGGCCCUUGAUAUUACUUGAUAUGGCAUUGAAUGCUCCUUCCCACUUGCUUUCAUGUGUUGUAAUAUCACAUAGAGUUUUGUAGCCAAUUUUGCUGGCUCGUCUUUAGAAUCCUGAAUGAGUUUCUGCAGAAACUUUGCAGCCUCAAACUCAACGUUAUGUGAGGGUUGUGAAGACGCCAUCUCAUCUCACCUGAUCGGAGAUCGACCGGGAAAUUGCAGGAAAUGCUGGUUUCAGUAACUGGGCUUACAUAGACAGAGAACUGCGUCCGCAGACGUAAACCCUCGAGAGGAAAAUGAGUUCCUU